CUGCCACGAGCGUGCGGGCCU
Molecule: microRNA, 21 nt
Filed under: Homo sapiens (human)
Lineage: Eukaryota; Metazoa; Chordata; Mammalia; Primates; Hominidae
Description: hsa-miR-12121
Source: miRBase by way of RNAcentral